CAAUAGCGUAUAUUAAUGUUGUUGCAGUUAAAAAGCUCGUAGUUGGAUUUCUGGUGGGAGCGGCCGGUCCGCCGUAAGGUGUGUACUUGGUUGUCUCCUGUCAUCCUUGUGGGAACUGCUCUGGCAUUAAGUUGUCGGGGUUAGGGAACACAUCGUUUACUGUGAAAAAAUUAGAGUGUUUAAAGCAGGCUUAUGCCGUUGAAUACAUUAGCAUGGAAUAAUAAGAUAGGACUUUGGCGUCUAUUUUGUUGGUUUGCACACCAAGGUAAUGAUUAAUAGGGAUAGUUGGGGGUAUUCGUAUUUAAUUGUCAGAGGUGAAAUUCUUGGAUUUAUGAAAGACGAACUUCUGCGAAAGCAUUUACCAAAGAUGUUCUCAUUA
Molecule: ribosomal RNA, 379 nt
Filed under: uncultured eukaryote
Lineage: Eukaryota
Description: partial 18S ribosomal RNA
Rfam family: Eukaryotic small subunit ribosomal RNA
Source: RNAcentral